Pan troglodytes (chimpanzee) is the source of this 5259-nucleotide RNA transcript. It is a transcript of the gene named eukaryotic translation initiation factor 3 subunit C, with no coding region annotated. The transcript is spliced from 23 exons. The record is from RefSeq and is marked provisional. NCBI's taxonomy places the organism in Eukaryota, Metazoa, Chordata, Mammalia, Primates, Hominidae.
UAGUUAGUCGGCGCUUCCCGGAAGUGACGCGUGGACCCGCCUUCUCCCUCGGCGUUUCUGCUGUCAGGGCCCUGCGGUGUGACUCGCGGGCUCAGCUGGUCCGGCCGUAGCACCUCCGCGCCGUCGCCAUGUCGCGGUUUUUCACCACCGGUUCGGACAGCGAGUCCGAGUCGUCCCUGUCCGGGGAGGAGCUCGUCACCAAACCUGUCGGAGGCAACUAUGGCAAACAGCCAUUGUUGCUGAGCGAGGAUGAAGAAGAUACCAAGAGAGUUGUCCGCAGUGCCAAGGACAAGAGGUUUGAGGAGCUGACCAACCUUAUCCGGACCAUCCGUAAUGCCAUGAAGAUUCGUGAUGUCACCAAGUGCCUGGAAGAGUUUGAGCUCCUGGGAAAAGCAUAUGGGAAGGCCAAAAGCAUUGUGGACAAAGAAGGUGUCCCCCGGUUCUAUAUCCGCAUCCUGGCUGACCUAGAGGACUAUCUUAAUGAGCUUUGGGAAGAUAAGGAAGGGAAGAAGAAGAUGAACAAGAACAAUGCCAAGGCUCUGAGCACCUUGCGUCAGAAGAUCCGAAAAUACAACCGUGAUUUCGAGUCCCAUAUCACAAGCUACAAGCAGAACCCCGAGCAGUCUGCGGAUGAAGAUGCUGAGAAAAAUGAGGAGGAUUCAGAAGGCUCUUCAGAUGAGGAUGAGGAUGAGGACGGAGUCAGUGCUGCAACUUUCUUGAAGAAGAAAUCAGAAGCUCCUUCUGGGGAGAGUCGCAAGUUCCUCAAAAAGAUGGAUGAUGAAGAUGAGGACUCAGAAGAUUCCGAAGAUGAUGAAGACUGGGACACAGGUUCCACAUCUUCCGAUUCCGACUCAGAGGAGGAAGAAGGGAAACAAACCGCGCUGGCCUCAAGAUUUCUUAAAAAGGCACCCACCACAGAUGAGGACAAGAAGGCAGCCGAGAAGAAACGGGAGGACAAAGCUAAGAAGAAGCACGACAGGAAAUCCAAGCGCCUGGAUGAGGAGGAGGAGGACAAUGAAGGCGGGGAGUGGGAAAGGGUCCGGGGCGGAGUGCCGUUGGUUAAGGAGAAGCCAAAAAUGUUUGCCAAGGGAACUGAGAUCACCCAUGCUGUUGUUAUCAAGAAACUGAAUGAGAUCCUACAGGCACGAGGCAAGAAGGGAACUGAUCGUGCUGCCCAGAUUGAGCUGCUGCAACUGCUGGUUCAGAUUGCAGCGGAAAACAACCUGGGAGAGGGCGUCAUUGUCAAGAUCAAGUUCAAUAUCAUCGCCUCUCUCUAUGACUACAACCCCAACCUGGCAACCUACAUGAAGCCAGAGAUGUGGGGGAAGUGCCUGGACUGCAUCAAUGAGCUGAUGGAUAUCCUGUUUGCAAAUCCCAACAUUUUUGUUGGAGAGAAUAUUCUGGAAGAGAGUGAGAACCUGCACAACGCUGACCAGCCACUGCGUGUCCGUGGCUGCAUCCUAACUCUGGUGGAACGAAUGGAUGAAGAAUUUACCAAAAUAAUGCAAAAUACUGACCCUCACUCCCAAGAGUACGUGGAGCACUUGAAGGAUGAGGCCCAGGUGUGUGCCAUCAUUGAGCGUGUGCAGCGCUACCUGGAGGAGAAGGGCACUACCGAGGAGGUCUGCCGCAUCUACCUGCUGCGCAUCCUGCACACCUACUACAAGUUUGAUUACAAGGCCCAUCAGCGGCAGCUGACCCCGCCUGAGGGCUCCUCAAAGUCUGAGCAAGACCAGGCAGAAAAUGAGGGCGAGGACUCGGCUGUGUUGAUGGAGAGACUGUGCAAGUACAUCUACGCCAAGGACCGCACAGACCGGAUCCGCACAUGCGCCAUCCUCUGCCACAUCUACCACCAUGCUCUGCACUCCCGCUGGUACCAGGCCCGCGACCUCAUGCUCAUGAGCCACUUGCAGGACAACAUUCAGCAUGCAGACCCGCCAGUGCAGAUCCUUUACAACCGCACCAUGGUGCAGCUGGGCAUCUGUGCCUUCCGCCAAGGCCUGACCAAGGAUGCACACAACGCCCUGCUGGACAUCCAGUCGAGUGGCCGAGCCAAGGAGCUUCUGGGCCAGGGCCUGCUGCUGCGCAGCCUGCAGGAGCGCAACCAGGAGCAGGAGAAGGUGGAGCGGCGCCGUCAGGUCCCCUUCCACCUGCACAUCAACCUGGAGCUGCUGGAGUGUGUCUACCUGGUGUCUGCCAUGCUCCUGGAGAUCCCCUACAUGGCCGCCCAUGAGAGCGAUGCCCGCCGACGCAUGAUCAGCAAGCAGUUCCACCACCAGCUGCGCGUGGGCGAGCGACAGCCCCUGCUGGGUCCCCCUGAGUCCAUGCGGGAACAUGUGGUCGCUGCCUCCAAGGCCAUGAAGAUGGGUGACUGGAAGACCUGUCACAGUUUUAUCAUCAAUGAGAAGAUGAAUGGGAAAGUGUGGGACCUUUUCCCCGAGGCUGACAAAGUCCGCACCAUGCUGGUUAGGAAGAUCCAGGAAGAGUCACUGAGGACCUACCUCUUCACCUACAGCAGUGUCUAUGACUCCAUCAGCAUGGAGACACUGUCAGACAUGUUUGAGCUGGAUCUGCCCACUGUGCACUCCAUCAUCAGCAAAAUGAUCAUUAAUGAGGAGCUGAUGGCCUCCUUGGACCAGCCAACACAGACAGUGGUGAUGCACCGCACUGAGCCCACUGCCCAGCAGAACCUGGCUCUGCAGCUGGCCGAGAAGCUGGGCAGCCUGGUGGAGAACAACGAACGGGUGUUUGACCACAAGCAGGGCACCUAUGGGGGCUACUUCCGAGACCAGAAGGACGGCUACCGCAAAAAUGAGGGCUACAUGCGCCGCAGUGGCUACCGCCAGCAGCAGUCUCAGACAGCCUACUGAGCUCUCCACUCUGUUUCCCGCCUAGGCCAUCCAACCUUGAAGUCCUAAACCACAUCUCAGUCACUAAAGGUAUGAUCUCGUGAAACCUUGAGAGAAAGUGAAUGACGAAUGAAACUAUUGUUCCUGUUUCACACAGAAGAAAACUGAGGUUGGCACUGAUCAUGAGCCCCUGUUCUCAUUCUGCAAAUGGUGAAGCUCUCUAUUGUCCUGACCCCACAGUUCCUGUCCCAUGAGCAGGGCCAGCUCACCAAGGAGCUGCAGCAGCACGUAAAGUCAGUGACAUGCCCAUGCGAGUACCUGAGGAAGGUGAGUGAGUGCAGACAGAUGGGGCCUGGUGCCCUUGAGCAGUUCCCGGGUCUCAGCUGCCACACAUCUCAUAGCGGGUGAUGCUGGGGGAAGCUUACACAGUCACAGUACUGGCUUCUUCCUCUUUUUCUUUCCAUACAAGUGGCUUAGGGAUGGGGUAGAGUAGUUGACUUAUUUGGAUGAAAACCACUAUCUUCUGUCAGAAACUCAAAAGGAAUCAUUGCUGGCAUGGUAACCUAAAGAAAAACAACCAGACAAGUGCCCAACGACACUUAAAAAGGUUAUUUAUUAUCUUGCCAAGUUUAGGCUGGGCGUGGUGACUCAUGCCUGUAAUCCCAGCAUUUUGGGAGGCUGAGGCUGGUGGAUCACCUGAGGCCAGGACUUCAAGACCAGCCUGACCAAUAUGGCAAAACCUCGUCCCUACUAAAAAUACAAAAAUUAGCCGGGCAUGGUGGUGUGAGCCUGUAGUCCCAGCUACUCAGGAGGCUGAGACAGGAGAAUUGCUUAGAUUCAGGAGGUGGAGGUUUUAGUGGGCCGAGAUCACGCCAUUGCACUCCAGACUGUGCGAAAGAGCGAGACUCUGUCAAAAAAAAAAAAAAAAAUUAUCCUGCAAAAUUUGAAAAGGAAAUUCAAAUCAACAGCUUCUAAACUACUUUUUAACAUGACUCAUAAUAAGAAAUACAUUCUAUAGUACAUAUAUAUGUUCUAUAAUUUUGAAUAAGAGAAUUAACCACAUCACAUUUAUUUUACAACAUGUAAUACAUAUUUUUUAUUCUCCUUCAUUUGUUUUGAAUGCUCUGUGCAGUCUACAAAAAGUCCAAUAGUAAUAAUUAAAUUAGUCAUUAAGUUGAACAUUAUCUUGUCUUUUAAAAUGAUAAUCUCAAAAAUGAUCUUUUAUUUUUGAGAUUUAUAUAGAUACACACACACACACACACACACACACACAUAUAUAUAGAGAGAGAGAGAGAGACAGAGUUUCACUCUGUCACCCAGGCUGGAGUGCAGUGGCACAAUCUUGGCUCACUGCAACCUCCAUCUUCCGGGUUCAAGCAAUUCCUCUGCCUCAGCCUCUGAGUAGCUGGGACUACAGGUGUGCACCAUCAUGCCCAGCUAAUUUUUGUAUUCUUAGUAGAGAUGGGGUUUCACCAUAUUGGCCAGGCUCGUGUCAACUCCUGACCUCGUAAUCUGCCCACCGUGGCCUCCCAAAGUGCUGGGACUAUAGGUGUGAGCCACUGCACCCGGUCCAAGAUAAAAUUAUUUUAACAAUAUACUAUGAAGAGAAAAACACUGGCUAUGAAAGAAUAUGCAUAGUUUUACCCUGUUUAAAAAUAAAGAUUGAAAGAAUACAUAUGCAAAUAAGUUUACUUUUAUUUUUGGUAAUACUUUACUGGAUUGUCUGAAUAUUGACAAUCAGUAUGCAUCAUGAAGCUACAUGGCUAACAUUGAGUACUCACUGUGUGUGCCAGGCCCUGGGUUCAAUGCUCUACAUGCACUUAUAUUUCAUUUAAUUCUCUCUGCAACCUGAGAUGGUAUAGCCACCUCAUUUUACAGAGUUGAAACUGAGGCUCAGAGACUGAAAGUUAAGCCUGAGGUUACAGUCAAUAAGAGGCAGAGCUGGAACUGAAACCUACGUGUGUCUGACCACCAGUUCAUGUUCUGACGGCAGGCUAGUCUGCAUCACAGAGCGUGGGGUAGAUGGUGCAUGCCUGCUAGGAUGGGCUAGGUAUCACUGUAGGUAAGAAACAGCCCCAAACGAUGGAAAUGUACACCACUGAAGGCUCUUUUCCUGCCCAUGCUGCACAUCCUCCAUGGCUCUCCUGUGCCCUGUGCCCCACAUGCCCUCAUCCUGCCACGAGAAUAAAGGAGCAGCCUCCAUAUGGGAGCUGUCAGCUGCUCUAAGAGAUGAAGGAGAGGGUGGCCAGUCUCAAUGGCUCCCAACUCUUUUGCCUCGAGGUGACACGCUUCACUUCCACUCACAUCUCUUGGGUCAAAGCAAAUCCCAUGGGUACAUCCACUUUCAAGUGGCCCAGGAGAGAACCUGAAAUACUCGGUGGACUCCAUUAAGGCCGUCAUAUGGUGUCAG